This 253-nucleotide ribosomal RNA is filed under the name uncultured bacterium. RNAcentral's name for it is "partial 16S ribosomal RNA". It matches the Rfam family "Bacterial small subunit ribosomal RNA", at positions 524 to 776 of the family's 1533-position model. The record is from RNAcentral.
UACAGAGGGGGCAAGCGUUGUUCGGAAUUACUGGGCGUAAAGGGCGCGUAGGCGGCCCGCUAAGUCGAACGUGAAAUCCCCGAGCUCAACUCGGGAACUGCGUCCGAGACUGGCGGGCUUGAAUCCGGGAGAGGGAUGCGGAAUUCCAGGUGUAGCGGUGAAAUGCGUAGAUAUCUGGAGGAACAUCGGUGGCGAAGGCGGCAUCCUGGACCGGUAUUGACGCUGAGGCGCGAAAGCCAGGGGAGCAAACGGG